Molecule: ribosomal RNA, 253 nt
Filed under: uncultured bacterium
Lineage: Bacteria
Description: partial 16S ribosomal RNA
Rfam family: Bacterial small subunit ribosomal RNA
Source: RNAcentral
UACAGAGGUCCCAAGCGUUGUUCGGAUUCACUGGGCGUAAAGGGUGCGUAGGUGGCGAGGUAAGUUUGAUGUGAAAUCUCCGGGCUUAACCCGGAAAUGGCAUUGAAUACUAUCUGGCUCGAGGGUUGGAGGGGGGACUGGAAUUCUCGGUGUAGCAGUGAAAUGCGUAGAUAUCGGGAGGAACACCUGUGGCGAAGGCGGCCCCCUGGUUGGAUACUGACGCUGAGACGCGAAAGCGUGGGGAGCAAACAGG